This is a long non-coding RNA of Athene cunicularia (burrowing owl), 909 nucleotides long. RefSeq lists it as uncharacterized. Lineage: Eukaryota; Metazoa; Chordata; Aves; Strigiformes; Strigidae. The transcript has 2 exons. The record is from RefSeq and is a predicted model, not a curated record.
AAGCGUGGCCCUGCCUUACUGCAAAGCCGAGCAGGAGUUAACUUAGCCCACAGGCCGUGUCCCGGCCUAGCAGAGUCCCAGGAGGUUGCUAUGGAGAGCAGCCAGAAUCUGUCCAACUCCAGACUGAGAUGUGCAGUGCCUGGGUGCUCGGGGCCAGCAGAUCCCUUCCUGCUGAGCACCUGUCCAACAGCUGGAGAGCAGUGAUGGCGGGAGCAGGAGCAGCACGAGGCCCUGGGGAGGGCUGAGGGCUCAGGAUCCAAAAUCUGCCGCUCUCAGAGCCACUUUCUAGCGAAGUCUAAGGGCCUGCUCACGCUUGCCGCCUUGGAACGCGCGAGCGCUGCUGCCUGCUGCUUUGUGAGUACCUUCACCAGGGCUGGUGCCAGGGCUUCGGCGGCGCUCGCUGCCCUUUUCCUCCGGCAGCUGCCAAUGGGGAAACAAGACCUGGGGUUUGGGCCAGGCGCCGCCGAGGCACCGAGACUGGGCUGAGCCGGAGCCCCCGGGCAGGGCUGAAAGGGAAGGCUCGGCCAUGCGCCUCGAGCAGGGACAAGCGGGUCUUUUCUGGGACACUGCAGGGCUGUGGGUCUGUCUGGUCGUCCUGGUAACUUCUAGGCUUGGGCUGUUGCUCGGGGCAGGGAAUGCUCAGGGCUUUGUGUCCCUGUCACAGCCCCUUGGCCACAGCCACGCUCUGCAUUUAAGGCAGGUGGGGGCAUAAACCCUCGACACUGACACACGAGACCCCCAGCCCCGUUCCCAGGGGCAGCGGUCAGCAAAGCAGGCAGGCUGGCCAAGAAAUAAUGGAAAUUAAUUGUCACUGAAGCUUAGACACAAAUAUUUAUUAAGCACAACCUCCCCUUCCCCUUGCGCUGUAUUCAUUUCUAAUAUAUUAAUUCAUUUGGCAGAUUAUUUUUU